CAGUAUGCCAUAAUGAUCUCCCUCAUUCACGUCAGGUCAAAGUGCAGCUAAUGAUGGGGAGAUGAUGGGUUACACCCUAAACACAGAUACCAAAUAAAGCACUAAAAGUUUUAUGAAGGUGGACUUGGAUGUAAUAAUAAUUUUAUAUUAUAAUGAAUACGAAUCUAAGACAUGCACACAUCGCCCGUCACUCUCGCCUAAAGGCG
Molecule: ribosomal RNA, 206 nt
Filed under: Zophoscolex atlanticus
Lineage: Eukaryota; Metazoa; Annelida; Clitellata; Crassiclitellata; Lumbricidae
Description: partial small subunit ribosomal RNA
Source: RNAcentral